UAUGAAAAACGACUCCACGCUAUCUAUUUCUCGGCCAGAAAUGCUCACUAUUAUCUGAGAAGGUCGAGAUUAGAGGUUCAUAAUGUGAUUAUCGAACUUUAUAAGAUAGCGAAUAUCGACUCAAUUACCGUGUCUUAAUGUACUUCAAAGCGAACAUUUUGUUUGGCUGAGCGGCCUAGAAAAGGCCUGUAAGCGCCCUGACUUGUCGAUACUGGUAUGAGAACGAUGAAAUGCUGACCAGAAAGUUCUAACAAGGAUUUGGUAUAGUUUGACAAAUGAAAAACCGAAAGCUGGUUAUCUCAGAUAGAGAAAAUUUCGAGGCGGUUUUACAUAGAUUAUGGCGGCAAUUAUAGGCCUGCUUAUGCUGCAUAUUAUCAUAUGCAUUUCUAACGCUUUUUUAUGACAAAGGGCAAAUGCAUGCGAAUAGAAACUAAUUCUGUGGGGAUUUUAUUGUUAUAAUGAGGCCAAUUUGAAGCGAGG
Hermetia illucens (black soldier fly) is the source of this 480-nucleotide long non-coding RNA. RefSeq lists it as uncharacterized. The record is from RefSeq and is a predicted model, not a curated record. The transcript is spliced from 3 exons. NCBI's taxonomy places the organism in Eukaryota, Metazoa, Arthropoda, Insecta, Diptera, Stratiomyidae.